Theobroma cacao (cacao) is the source of this 2108-nucleotide RNA transcript. It is a transcript of the gene named monodehydroascorbate reductase 6, with no coding region annotated. NCBI's taxonomy places the organism in Eukaryota, Viridiplantae, Streptophyta, Magnoliopsida, Malvales, Malvaceae. The record is from RefSeq and is a predicted model, not a curated record.
AAAAUUACACCAACUGGCCACUCUUCGCUGAACAGUUGCCCUUUUGUCAAAGAUCUCUGGCGCUGUCCCAUCCUUAAACGGCCUAAACCAAUCCAAAUUGCCAUGCCCCUUGGCCCUCUUCUAGGGCCAGAGCAGCCUCAAUAAUUAAAUUAUUAUUCACCUCUCACUCACUACAAAAUAACAUGUUCCCAGUUAGAAAAGCAAUGGCGGGCUUAUCGAACUCGCUUCAACUCAAGAACGGACUCGCUCUCUGGUGUCCUCGCUCUUCUUCUUUGACUCGUCCUCACCCUUCCUCUUCCAUCCGAUUCAAUAGCUUCCACAGAAACUUCGUUGUUGCCUCCUCCUCUUCUUUUUCUAACGACAAUCGCGAAUUUGUGAUCGUUGGAGGGGGCAAUGCUGCUGGAUAUGCAGCAAGGACUUUCGUCGAACACGGAAUGGCCGAUGGCAGGCUCUGUAUUGUAUCCAAAGAGGCAUAUGCACCGUAUGAGAGACCGGCUUUGACAAAAGGCUACUUGUUUCCCCUAGACAAGAAACCAGCUCGAUUACCCGGUUUUCAUACUUGUGUCGGAUCUGGUGGUGAAAGGCAAACUCCUGAAUGGUAUAAAGAGAAAGGGAUCGAGAUGAUUUAUGAGGAUCCAGUAACGACUAUUAAUAUAGAAAAGCAAACUCUAACCACAAAUUCUGGCAAAUUGCUGAAGUAUGGGUCUCUUAUAAUUGCUACCGGAUGUACAGCCUCAAGAUUUCCAGAGAAAAUCGGAGGAAACCUUCCCGGUGUUCAUUACAUUCGGGAUAUUGCAGAUGCUGAUUCACUAAUCUCAUCUUUGGAGAAGGCAAAGAAGGUGGUUGUUGUUGGAGGUGGUUAUAUUGGGAUGGAGGUUGCUGCUGCUGCUGUUGGCUGGAAACUUGAUACUACGAUCAUUUUCCCAGAGAAUCAUCUUUUGCAAAGAUUAUUCACUCCUUCCCUUGCUCAAAGAUAUGAAGAGCUCUACAAAGAGAAUGGUGUCAAAUUUUUAAAGGGUGCUUCUAUCAAAAACUUAGAAGCUGGUUCUAAUGGACAGGUAGCUGCUGUUAAACUUGGAGAUGGAUCCACCAUAGAAGCAGACACGAUAAUUAUUGGUAUUGGGGCAAAACCUGCGGUUAGUUCCUUUGAAAUGGUGGGAUUAAAUACCACUGUUGGUGGCAUACAGGUUGAUGGUCUAUUCCGGACAAGCAUACCUGGAAUUUUUGCAGUUGGAGAUGUUGCUGCAUUCCCCCUUAAGAUGUAUGACCGCAUGGCAAGAGUUGAACAUGUUGAUCAUGCUCGUCGAUCUGCACAGCAUUGUGUUAAGGCAUUGCUUAGUGCUCAAACUCACACGUAUGAUUAUCUGCCAUAUUUUUACUCAAGGGUUUUUGAGUAUGAAGGGAGCCCCAAGAAAGUUUGGUGGCAGUUUUUUGGGGACAAUGCUGGAGAGACCGUUGAGAUUGGGAAUUUUGAUCCGAAAAUUGCUACUUUCUGGAUAGAUUCUGGUAAACUGAAAGGAGUUCUUCUUGAAAGUGGAAGUGCUGAGGAAUUUAAACUCCUUCCUGAACUUGCAAGGAGCCAGCCCUCCAUUGACAAAGCCAAGCUUCAGAAAGCAUCUUCGGUUGAGGAGGCCCUAGAAAUUGCUAAAGCCUCCCUACUAGUUGGGCAGAAACCUUAGUUGCACGCAGAACCUCUCUGAGAAGUGCUGAUCUCUGCACAUAACCAUCUUACAGUUACCUUCUUCAAUAUCCUUAAAGCAAGGGAAUCAUUCCUCCUAAUAAUAUCUCGGAACCUUUCCCAUUAUUUCAUGAACUAAUUGUUUGAAACUAAGCAUGACGGAAAGGGACUUUCCUGUUAACAUCCUGAUGUUUCAGACCAGGUAGUGGAAAUGAAUGCGGCUCCCAAGCAUUGCUGUUCGGCUUAAAUUGGUGGCCAUUGCCGGAUUUGGGCUGGCUACGCCACCUCCUUCGUACCUCCUAAAUCUGUACUCUCGGAAGCCUAUCCUUGUCUUCUUCCUGCUUAGAUGUUACCCAUGAUUUUUGGCUCAUCACAAGCAUCACACACCCACACGAUGCCGCAGUAUAUAAAAAGGAGAAACUUACUAUUA